RNAcentral lists this transfer RNA (88 nucleotides) under Brevibacterium sediminis. Its description in RNAcentral is "tRNA-Thr". Lineage: Bacteria; Bacillati; Actinomycetota; Actinomycetes; Micrococcales; Brevibacteriaceae. The record is from RNAcentral.
UCGUCGAUCUUGUCCGCGGUCGCGGAGACGUCGAACUUCGUGGGUUCGGUGUGACGGCUGGUGACGGUGUCGACGUCGAUCGACGAGC